Molecule: ribosomal RNA, 473 nt
Filed under: Bolitoglossa colonnea
Lineage: Eukaryota; Metazoa; Chordata; Amphibia; Caudata; Plethodontidae
Description: partial 16S ribosomal RNA
Rfam family: Bacterial large subunit ribosomal RNA
Source: RNAcentral
UCGCCUUUUGAAAUAUAAAUAUAAAAGGUCCUGCCUGCCCAAUGACUUGUUUUAAUGGCCGCGGUAUUAUGACCGUGCAAAGGUAGCGUAAUCAUUUGUCUUUUAAAUAAAGACCAGUAUGAAUGGCUAAACGAAAGCCUUACUGUCUCUCUAGUCCAGUCAAUGAAAUUGAUUUCCCCGUGCAGAAGCGGGGAUAACACUAUAAGACGAGAAGACCCUGCGGAGCUUUAAACUCUAAUUAAUAGAUAUAUAUGUAUUUAAUAACCAGUUUUAGGUUGGGGCGACCAUGAGGUAUAAUACAACCCUCACGAUAUUUAACAAAGAAGGACACUUCAAACAACUACAUUAGCGUAUUGACCCAACAUUUGAUCAACGAACCAAGUUACCCCAGGGAUAACAGCGCAAUCCGCUCAAAAAGUCCAUAUUAACGAGCAGGUUUACGACCUCGAUGUUGGAUCAGGACACCCAAAUAG